UAUGAUGGGUGUCACUUUAUUGUACUUGU
Molecule: non-coding RNA, 29 nt
Filed under: Mus musculus (house mouse)
Lineage: Eukaryota; Metazoa; Chordata; Mammalia; Rodentia; Muridae
Source: RNAcentral